GGGUUGUAAAGCUCUUUCGUCGGGGAAGAAAAUGACUGUACCCGAAUAAGAAGGUCCGGCUAACUUCGUGCCAGCAGCCGCGGUAAUACGAAGGGACCUAGCGUAGUUCGGAAUUACUGGGCUUAAAGAGUUCGUAGGUGGUUGAAAAAGUUGGUGGUGAAAUCCCAGAGCUUAACUCUGGAACUGCCAUCAAAACUUUUCAGCUAGAGUUUGAUAGAGGAAAGCAGAAUUUCUAGUGUAGAGGUGAAAUUCGUAGAUAUUAGAAAGAAUACCAAUUGCGAAGGCAGCUUUCUGGAUCAUUACUGACACUGAGGAACGAAAGCAUGGGUAGCGAAGAGGAUUAGAUACCCUCGUAGUCCAUGCCGUAAACGAUGUGUGUUAGACGUUGGAAAUUUAUUUUCAGUGUCGCAGCAAAAGCGAUAAACACACCGCCUGGGGAGUACGACCGCAAGGUUAAAACUCAAAUGAAUUGACGGGGACCCGCACAAGUAGUGGAGCAUGUGGUUUAAUUCGAAGAUACGCGCAGAACCUUACCAACACUUGACAUGUUCGUCGCGACUCUGAGAGAUUAGAGUUUUCGGUUCGGCCGGACGAAACACAGGUGCUGCAUGGCUGUCGUCAGCUCGUGUCGUGAGAUGUUGGGUUAAGUCCCGCAACGAGCGCAACCCUCACUUUUAGUUGCCAUCAUUUAGUUGGGCACUCUGAAAGAACUGCCAGUGAUAAGCUGGAGGAAGGUGGGGAUGACGUCAAGUCCUCAUGGCCCUUACGUGUUGGCUACACACG
This 783-nucleotide ribosomal RNA is filed under the name marine metagenome. Its description in RNAcentral is "bacterial SSU rRNA". It matches the Rfam family "Bacterial small subunit ribosomal RNA", at positions 420 to 1222 of the family's 1533-position model. The record is from RNAcentral.